Molecule: ribosomal RNA, 384 nt
Filed under: uncultured bacterium
Lineage: Bacteria
Description: bacterial SSU rRNA
Rfam family: Bacterial small subunit ribosomal RNA
Source: RNAcentral
AUUGAACGCUGGCGGAAUGCUUUGCACAUGCAAGUCGAACGGCAGCACGGGGCAACCUGGUGGCGAGUGGCGAACGGGUGAGUAAUACAUCGGAACGUGCCCAAUCGUGGGGGAUAACGUAGCGAAAGUUACGCUAAUACCGCAUACGAUCUACGGAUGAAAGCGGGGGAUCGCAAGACCUCGCGCGAAUGGAGCGGCCGAUGUCAGAUUAGGUAGUUGGUGGGGUAAAGGCUCACCAAGCCAACGAUCUGUAGCUGGUCUGAGAGGACGACCAGCCACACUGGAACUGAGACACGGUCCAGACUCCUACGGGAGGCAGCAGUGGGGAAUUUUGGACAAUGGGCGCAAGCCUGAUCCAGCCAUUCCGCGUGCAGGAUGAAGGCC